Cervus elaphus (red deer) is the source of this 456-nucleotide long non-coding RNA. RefSeq lists it as uncharacterized. Lineage: Eukaryota; Metazoa; Chordata; Mammalia; Artiodactyla; Cervidae. The transcript has 3 exons. The record is from RefSeq and is a predicted model, not a curated record.
AGAUCAGACAGAGGACGACAAGAGAAGGUGUGUAGCCUGGUGGGAAGGCAGCUGUGAUGAGGUUUGGCAGAGACGGAACAGCCUAGCCUACUCCUGGCCUGUGAGCUGAGGGGACAGAACAGAUGGGAAUGGCCGAAGUCACUGGUCAGUAGGUGCCUGCUGGGGCUUCUGAGCCUGCCUUCCUGGGUUCCAGAGUAAACCUGAAAUCUGCAAGAGACAUCAUCCCCCAAACCGCCUGUUUUGCAGAGACUACUGAGACCACAGAAACGGCGUUUGGAAAUCUGCCAAAAUCCCAGGCCCUAGGCAACCACUGCCUACCUUUUCGUUCACUUUGCAAACCGGAUCUUGUAAGAUAAGAAUCUAGACUCCAGGAUGGGACCUACUUUUUCUCACACCCACAGCCCUCGGGGAUCCCUCCUCUCCCAGAUUCCCAAUAAUUAGAGCCAGCCAGACCCA